RNAcentral lists this ribosomal RNA (305 nucleotides) under uncultured bacterium. RNAcentral describes it as "bacterial SSU rRNA". It matches the Rfam family "Bacterial small subunit ribosomal RNA", at positions 337 to 635 of the family's 1533-position model. The record is from RNAcentral.
UCCUACGGGGGGCAGCAGUAGGGAAUUUUCGUCAAUGGGCGCAAGCCUGAACGAGCAAUGCCGCGUGAACGGGGAAGGUCUUCGGAUCGUAAAGUUCUGUUGAAGGGGAAAAAGAGCGGAGAGAGGAAAUGGUCUCCGAUUGAUAUUACCCUUCGAGGAAGUCACGGCUAACUACGUGCCAGCAGCCGCGGUAAUACGUAGGUGGCGAGCGUUAUCCGGAAUGAUUGGGCGUAAAGGGUGCGUAGGCGGCCUGCUAAGUCUGGAGUGAAAGGUACCGGCUCAACCGGUACAGGCUCUGGAAACUG